Long non-coding RNA from Choloepus didactylus (southern two-toed sloth), 5160 nucleotides. RefSeq lists it as uncharacterized. The transcript has 3 exons. The record is from RefSeq and is a predicted model, not a curated record. NCBI's taxonomy places the organism in Eukaryota, Metazoa, Chordata, Mammalia, Pilosa, Megalonychidae.
CCGCCCCCGCCCUCUCACGGGGGUCGCUGGGAGAGACCACCGUCUCCCUGGUUGGAGAGCAGCCCCGCCCCGCACUCGCUUUGGCGUGGGGGUCCUCCCACCCAAACUCUCCCCGCUUCAGCUUCCUCCCAGUCUCCGACGCCCGGGACAGCCGCUCACCCCGGCUCAUCCCGUCUCAUCCCGGCAGCAUUUUCCCAGGCCCUCUCCGCAGUCCCCGCCCUCAACUCCUUACCACCGCUUGGGCAGCGAGCCACACCGCUCUUUGGCAGGGGUCGGGUCCAUGGCGGAUGGGUGGUCUCCUGGGGCUCGUGAGAGGGGCGGUGCGCCGUGCCGGGCUGGGGACGAAGCCGGGUGAGGGCGGCGACGCCGGGAGUCUGCAGUGUGCGAGCGAGAAGAGCGCCAGGAGAGCAGGUGCCUGUGGCGCGGAGAGCGCUGGAGCAAGCCGGCGAGCAGCGGCGUCUGGAUUUCAGUUUCCUUCUCAGUGGUGGAGGAGUCAUUCCCACCCGGUCAGGCCACUGUUGUUCAGAGGUAAGGCCUCCUUGGACAAGGUCUGGCUAGAACGAGAGGGGAUGUGGGGAGCCUCUCUUCUCUCCCUGGAGUUCCUCCCCAGGAGCUCCGAGAGGGGCAGGGGUCAGCCACCUUCUGUCAUUUCAUUGCCACACGCCCGGAGCCUUCCCUUAGAAAUGGCUUUGGGUCUGUGGCCCAUGAAUAUACAACCCCGUGGGGCUCCUGCUGUCCUCAGCACUGGAAGGGAGAGGGCAGGCUUGCACCGCGGCACAGGAAUCCAGGACCUGGUGGGAUUCUAGGAGAGUGGAUUCGUUUUGAGACUGACUCCCAGCAGGGUUCUGAUGGCAGGAGUAGCUGACUGCACAGAGGCCUGCCCUGAGACGCAGGGAUCUCCUGACACCAGAUCCAAGCAGUCAUCAGUGAUGGCCAAGGGGAUUUUGCCUGCAGCCAGGGGAGGUACAUCUUGGUUACCUUUAAGGAGCGGCUCAGGAAAUGCUGGUUGGGCUGAUGGAUGGCUUCAGAUCCAGGUCUCCAGGGUUUUCCACAUCUUUCUGGACCACCACCUAAAAGGUUUUGACCAGAGGACCCCCAUGUGGCUUCUGGAGCUGGGAGAUGCUCAGCAGCUCACCCCCAGGCCCCUGGGCUUGCUGCUGCAUCUCGCUUUGGCUGUUGAAGGGGAGCCCCAUCCUAUUGCACCUGUCCUGGGCUGACAUGGCCACUGCAGGCCUUAGGAAGGGCUCCCCUCUGGCCCCACCUAGGGGCCCCAGGGCCGGCUCAGGGUGCUGACUUUAGUCCUAUUUGGCAGGCCCUACGUGGUCACCAUCCUACCAUGCUGACCCCCCACUGGCCCUGCUCUUGCUCACCUGCUUGUCUGCUCAGCAAUUCUAGGUGACUCCAUCCAGCUCAAGUCUGUCUUUCUCCAGGAAGCUUUCCUUCCUCCAGGGUCAGCUGCCCUUGUUUUCUGUCCCUGCUCCCUAGGGGCCCUUGGAGUCCAGGGUUAAACUAUCACUCCGGGAAGGUCCUCACCUGCGUCCUGGCAGUGCCAUCUUUCAGCCCACUCCCUGCUCCUGCCCACAUAGAAGAUGUCUGGACUGAACCCCUUGAGGGCAGAGCUGCGCCCCACUCAUCCUCACAUCUGCCUGGCUCCUUGCCUGGCCUGCAGCAGGCACCCAAUGGGUGCCGGGUGGCAGGAAGCCGAGGCAGCUGUACAGCUCCUGGCGAGUUCUCAGGCCCAGGCCAUUCUCUCAAAGGGGCCUGGGGCUUUCCUGGCCUCAUCCUGGGUAGGUGGCCCCUCCCCACUGUGGGGUACAGUGUCCAGGGGACGGGCACAGAUUUAGCAUCAUCUUUGGCUUCAGAACCACAGGGCGUCAGGUCUGGGCAGCCAUGGAGAUCAUCUCUCUGCACAGCUGGAGUGCAAAUGAGGAAACUGAGGCACAGGGUCCAGAAAGGACAAAGUUCGCCAUGUGGGGCUCCCACCUGAGGCCUGAGCUGCCCACACCCUGGACCAUCGAGGCCCCUGCACCCACGGAGCUGAUGCCAGGUCCAGAGAGGCUCCCGACACAUGCCGUGACCUUCACGCCUGACUUGCCCCUUUAGAGUUGCUCCUGCUGAUGGACUGGCAGCUGCCGGCAUUGCUCGGUUUGUGAAAUGUCAGUGGUUUAAUAUCAAUUCUGGAGGUUUUUAUUGCCUUUCCCCCAUUUUCCGGUGGGAUUUUGAUCCAAUCAAGCCCGAUCCAGAGUGAUGGUAGAUUUGUGUUCCCGUCUGAACUUGACAAAAGGUCACCCUGCAUGGGGAGCUCAGGGCUGAUGUGGCUCUCCCAGCGUGAGUAUUUUCUCAACCCGUGGGCUCAGGGUCAGGCUGGCUUUCCCCUGGGAACACAGUUCCCCUGGAGAAUUCUCCAUGCAGCCCUUUGGCUGGGUCACGGCAUCUGGAGGAUUAAACUCGGGCAAUCACCGGCAGUAAAGUGCCCUGGUUUUAUUUAUAAACUAUCUUUGAUGCUUCAAACCAAAAUUAAUUUUUCACAGUAAUGUUUCGAAAUGUCAUUUUUCCAUUAAAAAAAAAAAAAGCUGUUGAAUGUGAUUCUUUGCUUGGGCAAGAGGUCUGAGGUUUGGAGGGAGCCUUGCUGAGACUGGGACCCUUUCCUCCUGUCUCUGCUCGGCUCCCUCCAUCCCAGGGAAGGGAACAUGCCGUCCUGGCUGUCCCAUGACCAGGGCUUCUGCAAGGGUGGAGAAUGGGUUCAGCAAUUUUUGUCCAGUUCUGACCUUCUCCCAUGGCCUUUUAGAAAGGUGAUAUUCAGAGCGAGCCGUUUGCAGCUCCUGCUGUGUGUAUGGCCCAGGGAGGGCUCCGUGAGGGUAGGUAGAGGCAGGCAAAUCCAGACAGAGAGAUCAAGGCCCUGGCUGGCUGGAAGGUGUGCCCGGAGCUCCCCAGUGGUGGGGGUUAGCGUGAGACUGGCCCCACACCAUCCCAAGUGGCCCAUCAGCCUGUGCUGUGGCAGGAGGGGCCGGCACGCAGCACAUUUGCUGACGUGUCCCCUGUCUGUCCCUCCCUGCUUACAGUGACAGAGCAGGGGAUGUUUCAUGGAAAGAAAGUGAAAGUGGCAGUUUAGUCUACUUGGAUUGUACCUGCCAGGUUUACAAAGGGUUGCACUCUCCCCACACCUGUCUCCCUCUCUGUGGACCUGGGGAGGGCUGGGGAGGACGCCCACCCUGCAUCCACACACUUGGCCAGCCCAUCACUGUGUGCACCCCCUCCCACAACCUGCAGCUCUCCCCUCUGAGGCAAUAUGAGAUGGGCAGGGGCCUUUGCAAAUGGGCCCCAGCCUGCUACCCCUGCCCUUUCUUCCAGGCAUUGGGAUCCCAGGAGUGUACCCUUGGGACACGGGUAGUGUGCACAAGUGGAGUGUGUUAAUGUGCACAGAUAGUGCAUAUGUAGAGAGCAUAUGUGCAUGUGUGAACAUGAACGUGUGUGUGCAGGCAAGAACAUGUGUGCAGAUGUAGUGCCUGUCUGUGAUCAGAGGGUAUGUACAGACACAGAGGAUGUGAGCAAAUGGGGUGGCUUUGCCCAGAUAGCUUAUGUGCAUGUGCAUGUGAGCACGUGAACAUGUGUGCAGACACGGAGGAUGUGAGCAAAUGGAGUACCUGUGCACAAGCAGCAUGUGUGUGUGUGUGCAAACGUGUGCAGACAAUAUCCCUGUGUGUGAUGGUAUGCCUCUGUGUGUGGUCAGAGAGUGGGUGUGCAGACAUGACACACAUGAGCAAACAGGGUGCCUGUGCAAAGUCGGUGUGUGUAUGUGCAUGUGAGUGCACAGAUGAUGUUUGCAUAGACAGGGGUACACUGGUGUGAGCAGACAACAUAGGUAUGUGUAAAUGAUGUGCAUAUAUCCAGACAGCAUGUGCACAGACAGCAUGCAUGUAAGAAGAGUGAGUGUGUGUGUGUGCGUGCAGGCUGGUGUGGGUGCACAGAUGGGCCAUGUGUGCACACACAAGCAGUGAAGCCAGUUCCAGCUCUGCCAUGAGCCUCCUAAGAGGGGGCUGAAGGAGAACAGGAAUCCAGAGCCCUCUCCUCCCUGUCUCCCCACACUUUCCCUUCCUCCCCUUCCUCCUUCCCCCUUCCUCUCUUCCCUUUUCCUCUCCUCCCAAUCCUUCUCCCUCCUCCUCCUCCCCUCCUCUAUCUAAUGAAAUAUUUUUCCCUCCUGUGACUCCAAAUCUGACCCCAACUCCUGCCCUGCCUCAUUCCUCAGAGCUGGUCCUUCUUCCCCAGCCUGGCUGCUUGCGGGGAGAGGGGAUGGUGAUCUUUACCUUCUACCGGGGAGUGGGCUCUGGGCUCUGGGGAGGGCAGAGAAUAGUGGGGACUGGGUCACACCAGCCCUGGUGCCCACCUGGGGGCGGGACGCUCCUCAGCUCUGGCCUGUUGCUGGUGUGUGGAGAGCAGGCCCAGUAUGGUCGGAUGCUCCAGGGUUUCAGAUGAAGCGAGAAAUCCAGGGUUUUAUGCGAAAUCUAAUUUUUAAAUGUUGUUUCCAUUACAAAAAUAAAACCUCCAGGGUCUGCAGGCUAGAUUUGGUCUGUGGAGGUCCAGUUUGCUGCAUCUGUUUAGCACCCUUGGGUCUCCAGGGCUCGUCCCUCCCCAGGCCCAGCUGCGGUCUCCGGGUGGGCCGCUGUGGGGGGAGUUCCCCUCUCAGCAUCUCAAGCUGGGGGCUGCGUAGACACAGCCACUGGGUUCGAUAGUGCAGACUCUGGUGGGGUAAUUAUUUCCAAAAAUAUUGACUUGUAAUGUGAAGAAAGCUCUUCUCCGUGCCACCCAUCAGCAGAAAAUUGCUUUCGGUAUUAACUUUUCAUCAACCGCAUAAUGUAUAAAUGCAUAAUUAGAAAUAAUAACCUGGGAAAAUUCACUCUUAUUUAUAAAAUUGGGCUUGUUAAAUUAAAACGGGAGCUAACGACUUCUCUCUCUCUGUUAAAACAUGUCUGAGGUGUUGCUGGCCUGGCUUGGCAGCGGGUGCCUGGACACACUGACGGCUUUGUGGGGAGACCCCGGAACUGGGCUGUCCCUCUGAGCAGGCACGGAUACCACCUGUCCAAAAGGUGGCUCUCUAAUAUUGUAAAUGGGCCUCUCAAAAGCAUCUUAAUCGACACACAACAAAUGGCGAUCUUUGUGGAA